UAGUUGUUCGCGGUUGUUCGCGCUCUUUUUCAAACAUAGAUUAUGUCGUCAGUUUUACAGUUUUAACCGAUUAAAACACAGUUUUACGAAGAAUCACACAUAAAGAAAGGGUCUUAGUGAUAUUUUAACGACCCUUGCCAACGCAAGAAAGUUGGCGUUUUUACAACAGCAGCCUCAUUGUUCGGCAGGUUUUUGUUUUUUUUCUUCUCAUUAGCAUCAUUCAAAAGUGACUUAGCUAGCAGUGGCAACUUCUAUCUAAAACAAUUGAAAUAUAGCAAGGUGUUGUAUAUUUAGUGUGCUGAUAAGGUUUUCAAUAUUUUUAUUUUUUCUUCCAAGGCUGAAGGCCAAAGACAAAAAGACAGAAGAAAAAAAAAUUCAGACUGCAAUUAAUUUCAGGUGGAGACAGUAAACACAGGAGGCGCCUGAUAUCAACGUGAAACGCACUGCAGUACUUCGUGCCCUUCCUGUAUACCUGCGGGAGGAGGACCCAGAAUUCUUUUAGACAUGUAAUGCGGACGCAUUGGAUGAGUCGACCCUCAUUGACACUCCAGUUGCCCUUCUCACAGUGGUUACCGACGGCGCUUCCCAGUCCAGUCCAUUUUACUUCCUCAAGCAUGGCUGUUUUGGUGAAAGGCGACUAGGUGAUGCGUGAUAUUCCCAGAUUUGCAAAUGCAUUUGCUUUAUUGUUUGGCUUGAUCUAUGCUCUGCAUUUAGACUACCCCAGGAAGCUGGUUCACACAUUUGCCUUAGUCCAAAAUAUCUUCAUGGGGCUUGAUGACGGCAAACCCCUGAAACCCCUGCCUACAUGCUCUUAAGGAAUAUAAGGCAAUGUUUGUUAGGACACGCACUCUGUUACUGAGCACUU
Molecule: long non-coding RNA, 865 nt
Organism: Astatotilapia calliptera (eastern happy)
Lineage: Eukaryota; Metazoa; Chordata; Actinopteri; Cichliformes; Cichlidae
Source: Ensembl